GACGAACGCUGGCGGCGUGCUUAACACAUGCAAGUCGAACGGAAAGGCCCUGCUUUUGUGGGGUGCUCGAGUGGCGAACGGGUGAGUAACACGUAAGUAACCUGCCCUUGACUUUGGGAUAACUUCAGGAAACUGGGGCUAAUACCGGAUAGGAGCUCCCGCUGCAUGGUGGGGGUUGGAAAGUUUCGGCGGUUGGGGAUGGACUCGCGGCUUAUCAGCUUGUUGGUGGGGUAGUGGCUUACCAAGGCCUUGACGGGUAGCCGGCCUGAGAGGGUGACCGGCCACACUGGGACUGAGAUACGGCCCAGACUCCUACGGGAGGCAGCAGUGGGGAAUAUUGCACAAUGGGCGGAAGCCUGAUGCAGCAACGCCGCGUGCGGGAAGACGGCCUUCGGGUUGUAAACCGCUUUCGCCUGUGACGAAGCGUGAGUGACGGUAAUGGGUAAAGAAGCACCGGCUAACUACGUG
RNAcentral lists this ribosomal RNA (468 nucleotides) under uncultured bacterium. RNAcentral's name for it is "partial 16S ribosomal RNA". It matches the Rfam family "Bacterial small subunit ribosomal RNA", at positions 28 to 507 of the family's 1533-position model. The record is from RNAcentral.